RNAcentral lists this ribosomal RNA (472 nucleotides) under uncultured bacterium. RNAcentral's name for it is "bacterial SSU rRNA". It matches the Rfam family "Bacterial small subunit ribosomal RNA", at positions 355 to 825 of the family's 1533-position model. The record is from RNAcentral.
UGGGGAAUAUUGGACAAUGGGGGGAACCCUGAUCCAGCCAUGCCGCGUGCGGGAAGAAGGCCUUCGGGUUGUAAACCGCUUUUGUCAGGGAAGAAACGCUCUGGGCUAAUACCCUGGGGUAAUGACGGUACCUGAAGAAUAAGCACCGGCUAACUACGUGCCAGCAGCCGCGGUAAUACGUAGGGUGCAAGCGUUAAUCGGAAUUACUGGGCGUAAAGCGUGCGCAGGCGGUUAUGCAAGACAGAUGUGAAAUCCCCGGGCUCAACCUGGGAACUGCAUUUGUGACUGUAUAGCUAGAGUACGGUAGAGGGGGAUGGAAUUCCGCGUGUAGCAGUGAAAUGCGUAGAUAUGCGGAGGAACACCGAUGGCGAAGGCAAUCCCCUGGACCUGUACUGACGCUCAUGCACGAAAGCGUGGGGAGCAAACAGGAUUAGAUACCCUAGUAGUCCCUGAGCGGGCUGGCAAGGCGCAU